This 430-nucleotide ribosomal RNA is filed under the name bacterium. RNAcentral describes it as "partial 16S ribosomal RNA". It matches the Rfam family "Bacterial small subunit ribosomal RNA", at positions 355 to 776 of the family's 1533-position model. The record is from RNAcentral.
UGGGGAAUAUUGGACAAUGGGCGCAAGCCUGAUCCAGCCAUGCCGCGUGUGUGAAGAAGGCCUUUUGGUUGUAAAGCACUUUAAGCGAGGAGGAGGCUACUUGGAUUAAUACUCUAGGAUAGUGGACGUUACUCGCAGAAUAAGCACCGGCUAACUCUGUGCCAGCAGCCGCGGUAAUACAGAGGGUGCGAGCGUUAAUCGGAUUUACUGGGCGUAAAGCGUGCGUAGGCGGCUUCUUAAGUCGGAUGUGAAAUCCAUGAGCUUAACUUAGGAAUUGCAUUCGAUACUGGGAAGCUAGAGUAUGGGAGAAGAUGGUAGAAGUCCAGGUGUAGCGGUGAAAUGCGUAGAGAUCUGGAGGAAUACCGAUGGCGAAGGCAGCCAUCUGGCCUAAUACUGACGCUGAGGUACGAAAGCAUGGGGAGCAAACAGG